GACGAACGCUGGCGGCGUGCCUAAUACAUGCAAGUUGAGCGAUGAAGAUUGGUGCUUGCACCAAUUUGAAGAGCAGCGAACGGGUGAGUAACGCGUGGGGAAUCUGCCUUUGAGCGGGGGACAACAUUUGGAAACGAAUGCUAAUACCGCAUAACAACUUUAAACAUAAGUUUUAAGUUUGAAAGAUGCAAUUGCAUCACUCAAAGAUGAUCCCGCGUUGUAUUAGCUAGUUGGUGAGGUAAAGGCUCACCAAGGCGAUGAUACAUAGCCGACCUGAGAGGGUGAUCGGCCACAUUGGGACUGGGACACGGCCCAAACUCCUACGGGAGGCAGCAGUAGGGAAUCUUCGGCAAUGGACGAAAGUCUGACCGAGCAACGCCGCGUGAGUGAAGAAGGUUUUCGGAUCGUAAAACUCUGUUGGUAGAGAAGAACGUUGGUGAGAGUGGAAAGCUCAUCAAGUGACGGUAACUACACAGAAAGGGACGGCUAACUACGUG
RNAcentral lists this ribosomal RNA (497 nucleotides) under uncultured bacterium. RNAcentral's name for it is "partial 16S ribosomal RNA". It matches the Rfam family "Bacterial small subunit ribosomal RNA", at positions 28 to 507 of the family's 1533-position model. The record is from RNAcentral.